RNAcentral lists this ribosomal RNA (802 nucleotides) under uncultured bacterium. RNAcentral's name for it is "bacterial SSU rRNA". It matches the Rfam family "Bacterial small subunit ribosomal RNA", at positions 8 to 810 of the family's 1533-position model. The record is from RNAcentral.
AGAGUUUGAUCCUGGCUCAGGAUGAACGCUGGCGGCGUGCUUAACACAUGCAAGUCGAGCGAAGCACUUAAGUUUGAUUCUUCGGAUGAAGACUUUUGUGACUGAGCGGCGGACGGGUGAGUAACGCGUGGGUAACCUGCCUCAUACAGGGGGAUAACAGUUAGAAAUGACUGCUAAUACCGCAUAAGACCACAGUAUCGCAUGAUCCGGUGGUAAAAACUCCGGUGGUAUGAGAUGGACCCGCGUCUGAUUAGCUAGUUGGUGGGGUAACGGCUCACCAAGGCGACGAUCAGUAGCCGACCUGAGAGGGUGACCGGCCACAUUGGGACUGAGACACGGCCCAAACUCCUAAGGGAGGCAGCAGUGGGGAAUAUUGCACAAUGGGCGAAAGCCUGAUGCAGCGACGCCGCGUGAAGGAUGAAGUAUUUCGGUAUGUAAACUUCUAUCAGCAGGGAAGAAAAUGACGGUACCUGACUAAGAAGCCCCGGCUAACUACGUGCCAGCAGCCGCGGUAAUACGUAGGGGGCAAGCGUUAUCCGGAUUUACUGGGUGUAAAGGGAGCGUAGACGGCAUGGCAAGUCUGAAGUGAAAGCCCGGGGCUCAACCCCGGGACUGCUUUGGAAACUGUCAGGCUAGAGUGCUGGAGAGGUAAGUGGAAUUCCUAGUGUAGCGGUGAAAUGCGUAGAUAUUAGGAGGAACACCAGUGGCGAAGGCGGCUUACUGGACAGUAACUGACGUUGAGGCUCGAAAGCGUGGGGAGCAAACAGGAUAAGAUACCCUGGUAGUCCACGCCGUAAACGAU